UUGGAGGGCAAGUCUGGUGCCAGCAGCCGCGGUAAUUCCAGCUCCAAUAGCGUAUAUUAAAGUUGUUGCAGUUAAAAAGCUCGUAGUUGAAUUUCGGGAUCAAUUUAUCGGUCGUGCCUACGGUAUGAACUGGUACAAUUGGUUUCUCCCUUCUGACGAAGCAUGAUGUCAUUAAUUUGGUGUCGUGGGGAAUCAGGACUGUUACUUUGAAAAAAUUAGAGUGUUUAAAGCAAGCAUUAGCUUGAAUACAUUAGCAUGGAAUAAUGAAAUAGGACGUUUGAUCCUAUUUCGUUGGUUUCUAGGAUCGACGUAAUGGUUAAUAGGGAUAGUUGGGGGCAUUAGUAUUCAAUUGUCAGAGGUGAAAUUCUUGGAUUUAUUGAAGACUAACUACAGCGAAAGCAUUUGCCAAGGAUGUUUUCAUUAAUCAAGAACGAAAGUUAGGGGAUCGAAGACGAUCAGAUACCGUCGUAGUCUUAACCAUAAACUAUGCCGACUAGGGAUCGGAUGAUGUUAAUUUUUUAAUGACUCAUUCGGCGCCUUACGGGAAAC
This 549-nucleotide ribosomal RNA is filed under the name uncultured Glomeromycotina. RNAcentral's name for it is "SSU rRNA". It matches the Rfam family "Eukaryotic small subunit ribosomal RNA", at positions 548 to 1098 of the family's 1831-position model. Lineage: Eukaryota; Fungi; Glomeromycota. The record is from RNAcentral.